Molecule: non-coding RNA, 80 nt
Filed under: unclassified sequences
Description: L4-Archaeoglobi ribosomal protein leader
Rfam family: L4-Archaeoglobi ribosomal protein leades
Source: RNAcentral
CUGACCAGGACGCAUGGGUCGACGUUCGUGCAACGAGCCCCCUUCACCUGCUGACGCAGGAGGAUGCGACCAGAAGUCAG